RNAcentral lists this transfer RNA (76 nucleotides) under Candidatus Sulfopaludibacter sp. SbA4. RNAcentral describes it as "tRNA-Met". It matches the Rfam family "tRNA". Rfam says of the family: Transfer RNA (tRNA) molecules are approximately 80 nucleotides in length. Lineage: Bacteria; Pseudomonadati; Acidobacteriota; Terriglobia; Bryobacterales; Solibacteraceae. The record is from RNAcentral.
UGCGGGGUACUGUCAAUGGCAGACGGGAAGCCUCAUAAACUUCCGGAAGACGGUUCGAUUCCGUCCCCCGCUACCA